UGCAAGUCGAACGGUAACAUUUCUAGCUUGCUAGAAGAUGACGAGUGGCGGACGGGUGAGUAAUGCUUGGGAACUUGCCUUUGCGAGGGGGAUAACAGUUGGAAACGACUGCUAAUACCGCAUAAUGUCUUCGGACCAAACGGGGCUUCGGCUCCGGCGCAAAGAGAGGCCCAAGUGAGAUUAGCUAGUUGGUAAGGUAACGGCUUACCAAGGCGACGAUCUCUAGCUGUUCUGAGAGGAAGAUCAGCCACACUGGGACUGAGACACGGCCCAGACUCCUACGGGAGGCAGCAGUGGGGAAUAUUGCACAAUGGGGGAAACCCUGAUGCAGCCAUGCCGCGUGUGUGAAGAAGGCCUUCGGGUUGUAAAGCACUUUCAGUUGUGAGGAAAAGUUAGUAGUUAAUACCUGCUAGCCGUGACGUUAACAACAGAAGAAGCACCGGCUAACUCCGUGCCAGCAGCCGCGGUAAUACGGAGGGUGCGAGCGUUAAUCGGAAUUACUGGGCGUAAAGCGCACGCAGGCGGUUUGUUAAGCUAGAUGUGAAAGCCCCGGGCUCAACCUGGGAUGGUCAUUUAGAACUGGCAGACUAGAGUCUUGGAGAGGGGAGUGGAAUUCCAGGUGUAGCGGUGAAAUGCGUAGAUAUCUGGAGGAACAUCAGUGGCGAAGGCGACUCCCUGGCCAAAGACUGACGCUCAUGUGCGAAAGUGUGGGUAGCGAACAGGAU
This 725-nucleotide ribosomal RNA is filed under the name uncultured bacterium. RNAcentral describes it as "bacterial SSU rRNA". It matches the Rfam family "Bacterial small subunit ribosomal RNA", at positions 56 to 778 of the family's 1533-position model. The record is from RNAcentral.